CACGUUUGUCACCUUCAACCUGGUUAUAAUCUCAUAGUGAGAGGAUAAGCUUGUCAACAGACACAAAAAGGCGAUAUCCAAUAGUCCGAAGUUCAAAUGUUUCCCUGGGCACGUGUAAACCGAAUGAAAGAUCAACUGACCAAUCAUAUGUCAACAACGAACACGCAGAACAAACGUCAAUGUGAUAAGGGAGUUCACUUUGACAAAUAUCCCAACAAAGAGCAAUGUCUUGUUACCGAGAAAGAAAAUUUCCACCCACCCACCUGUUCAUGUUCCUGGUAUCUGGUGCAUUGUAUGGGUGCUAACUAAUGUAUGCGAGGACUAUCAAGAACAAUUUGUCAAGAAAGACAACACACAAUUUUCUCAUAGAAAAUUAUCGCUAUGUAAAUACUUAUAAAUUGGUUUAUGUUGAAAC
Molecule: non-coding RNA, 415 nt
Organism: Paramuricea clavata
Lineage: Eukaryota; Metazoa; Cnidaria; Anthozoa; Malacalcyonacea; Plexauridae
Source: the annotation of a GenBank genome assembly